CGUGCUAUAUAAAAUCAUUUGCACAUUCCUGAGUAGAGGUAUACUGAUUAUAAGACCCAAAGGUAAUUUCAUAGCAAAAUACAUAAAAUCAGUUGGAGCUUUUAUACAAACAUGGAAACCAACUUUGUAGAACUUUUGCCAUUUGACUUAGGAUUGGAAUAUGAGCUUUUAUACAAUUCAUAUUCUUAUUUGGCAAAUGCACAGUUUAGUAUUACCUCUCUGAUGGCCUUUAUUAGAAAGGCGGUUUUAGAAGCUAUUGUGAUCCACUAAGGAAAUGUUUUAACAGCUAGCGACCACUGCUUGCCUGAAAGGGCGAUCUUAAAUUUGGUGCAGAAAAAAACAAAAACAAAAACAAAAAAAAAACAAAAAAAAAAGAAUAAAAAGAAAAAAAGUAAACAACAUUUGAAGGCCUACAGUGUGUAUAGAGACAACCUCAUCACAAGAUCAUAAGUGUUACCGUUUUAGGGAAUCAAGAUAUUCUAUUUAAUAGAGCUAUAGUAGAUAUAGUCAAUUAAACCUGAUCUCAAAGCUCGAAGAAGCUGAGCAAAACAGGGAAAGAUUGUUAUAUUCAUCUUUAUGAAAUUGGGAUGGAAUUGCUAUGCAGAAUUGAGGUUUGUGGCUUCACUGUUCAUCUUAGGGUGCAUGACAAGCUCCCUUCUCUUAAGAAAGGAAAAAAUUGAUCACCCUAGCUGCAGUGAUGCCUAGAAACCGAAUUGUAUCCACACUAGUCAGUCGAAGCUAAAGGAUUUUCCUUUUUGUUUCUUUGGGGUUUUAUUGAAGGGGCUAGGGGCGGGAAGGGAUUCUUUUCAGUUUUGUAUAAAAACAAAGUUUACUCAUGCUUUAUAUUAUAUUGUGAUUGCAAGCAUUCUAAGCAUUGUGUCGCUGGACUCCUUGUUGAUGCUCUAGAAUCAUCUGUUCCAAGUCUUCAUACACACCUAGCACAUAGUAGGUGCUCACAUAUUAAUUUUCUUCCCUCCCUUAUUGAUCACAUAGCCUCCGUUUCCCCAUAUGAUUCCAACCCAGUGGUAGAUGACAUUUUCAUGUUACAAAGACAUCUACUGGGUAGAAAUGAGUCUUACUUGAAUAAAGGAAUUCUGACAGAUAAGCUUUGGUAGACCAAAAAAAAAAGCAACAGGAAAGAAAAUAUUCUUCAGUAGAACAUUUUUUAAGUGUAGAAAAGAAAGAUGGGAAAUUACUAUGUAACUCUGUUCAGGUUACCUUGACUGAAACACAUGUUUUUGGUGGCUUUCUUUUCCUCAAACAACUCUCUAAAUCCAACUUGCUGGAUUCCUCAUCUGUCAUCACGUUGGAAACCCUUACUCGACCUAUGUAUUUAGAGAGUUUUGUCAGAAAACAUUUUUAACUUGCAGUAUUUAAAAGAACCAUAUUUACUGUUCUUAAAAUGUCAUUCAAAUGCAUGUAUUGUCUAUUGUUUGGGGAUGGGAACUAGUUUUGCAAAAAACACCUAAUGUUGUAUAAUAAUGCCCCAAUGAUCUUGCUGGUUAAAAAUACAGUAUUUUUGGCCAUAAGUUUGUACCACAGUAUUCUUCAUUCUUGAGUCUUCCUUCUCUUGAAGUUGGAGUCUAAGCCUCUCCCAGAAUGUUUUUUAUUAUAAGGAAUAUCAGGAUUAAAUCUUUCUUUCUUUAAAAUACUUUAUACUAUACAUCCAUUUCUCAAAGUAGACAGAUUCAAUAGUUUUUAAGCAAAAAAUAUCUUUUCCUUUCUGAAUAUUAUCAGAAAUACGUCUUUGUGAAAACAUUCAU
This 1763-nucleotide long non-coding RNA is filed under the name Sus scrofa (pig). Its description in RNAcentral is "lncRNA (ENSSSCG00025021901.1)". The record is from RNAcentral. Lineage: Eukaryota; Metazoa; Chordata; Mammalia; Artiodactyla; Suidae.